AGAGUUUGAUCAUGGCUCAGGAUGAACGCUGGCGGCGUGCCUAACACAUGCAAGUCGAACGUGAGGAAGCAUUUCGGUGUUUCUGAAAGUGGCGAACGGGUGAGUAACACGUGGGUGACCCGCCUCGCAGUGGGGGAUAACCACUGGAAACGGUGGCUAAUACCGCAUGGGUCUUUAGGGUGUGGAGCCUUAAGGAUAAAGCGAUUAGCGCUGCGAGAGGGGCCUGCGGUCGAUUAGUUAGUUGGUGGGGUAAAGGCCUACCAAGGCGAUGAUCGAUAGCUGGUCUGAGAGGAUGAUCAGCCACACGGGAACAGAGACACGGUCCCGACUCCUACGGGGGGCAGCUGUGAGGAAUAUUGCACAAUGGGGGCAACCCUGAUGCAGCAACGCCGCGUGGAGGAUGAAGGUCUUUGGAUUGUAAACUCCUUUUCUUGGGGAAGAGCAAGGACGGUACCCGAGGAAUAAGUCACGGCUAACUACGUGCCAGCAGCCGCGGUAAUACGUAGGUGGCAAGCGUUAUCCGGAAUUACUGGGCGUAAAGCGCACGCAGGCGGUCUUUUAAGUUUGACGUGAAAGCUCCUGGCUUAACUGGGAGAGGUCGUUGAAGACUGGAAGGCUUGAGGCGAUGAGAGGGGUGUGGAAUUCCCGGUGUAGUGGUGGAAUGCGUAGAUAUCGGGGGGAACACCAGUGGCGAAAGCGGCACCCUGGCAUUGGCCUGACGCUCAUGUGCGAAAGCGUGGGGAGCGAACGGGAUUAGAUACCCCGGUAGUCCACGCUGUAAACGAUGAGCACUAGGUGUAGGCAGUGUGAAAGCUGUCUGUGCCGAAGUCAACACGCUAAGUGCUCCGCCUGGGGAGUACGGCCGCAAGGCUAAAACUCAAAUGAAUUGACGG
Molecule: ribosomal RNA, 893 nt
Filed under: uncultured bacterium
Lineage: Bacteria
Description: bacterial SSU rRNA
Rfam family: Bacterial small subunit ribosomal RNA
Source: RNAcentral